AAUUGAAACUUGAUUAAGCCAAAAUACAGACAUAAUUAAAUACACAUCCAUGAAAUUCAGUAUGUACCUCAUGUUCAGUACUAGCUGAACAUAGACAAAACCAAAUCUCAAAUGACCCACAAUUUAAUUCUCAAUUAAAUUGGAUCAAGUCCUUCCUACUUAACUUGACUUAUGUGCGUGACUCCGAUAGGUUCGAACACUAAGCCGGUAGUACAUGAACCACUCCAUGCACUAAUCGAGGUGACCAUCUAGCAAUGAUACCCGAUGUCCAGAUAGGUCGAAUAUGCAAAGCAACAUUCAAGAACCCAUUCAUAUGGUUACCGCAUAAUUCAUCCUUUUGACCAACGAUG
Molecule: long non-coding RNA, 350 nt
Filed under: Phoenix dactylifera (date palm)
Lineage: Eukaryota; Viridiplantae; Streptophyta; Magnoliopsida; Arecales; Arecaceae
Description: long non-coding RNA (PDAC_LNC017044)
Source: RNAcentral